CUCAUGCACAUGCGUUUUGUCCAUCUUCACAAUAAGCUGUCAUUUCAAUGCUCUUGGCACAGCUUCACAAGUUGUGUUUCACAAAGACACAGUCACGACAGCCAAUGAAAAGCGAACGGAAGAAAUGCGAGGACGAAGAUCCCAGCUAAAGCAAACACUGUCCACCACAAUGAAGACUGCAGUUGUGGCAUGGAGGAAAAGGAGGCAAAGACCCCAUCUUACCCACAUUCGGUGGUCAGCUGAAACCAGAAGGAGAUACAUAAAUAAACUGCACCACUGAGCUGCAAGGGUGGCCUGUGCCAUACUUGGUUGGGGAUGUGGGGUUCUGGUUAGUGUUAGAGCUGCCACAGCACCCCCACGUGCCUUGCCUCCACAAUUGCCUCAAAGUGGGCACAGCCUCACUGCAGAUCCAGAGACAUUCUUGGCAUUUUUGGCAGGUAGAGCUAGAUUAGAGCUAGCUGGACUGUUGAGAUGUGUGCCAGAUCACUUAUGGGGUGUUGCUUAUGUCACUAAUUUCAGUAUGAACAAGAAUUGGAACCACAGCCAGGUACUUGGACAUUCUGACUCUUACCAACAAGAACAGAUAUAAGCUGAGGCUGAGCUAUGCCCACAGCAGAAGGGCCAACAAAGUAAAGUUUUCUGUUUUAUUUCAUUCUUUUCUCUCUAUAUCACAUACAUAUUGCUUCAUUUAAUUCAUAUUCAAUCUACCCUUGGUUUUCCUCUUUAUAAGAGUGAGCAAAUGCAUGAGCGCAACUGUGCAGCGUCUCGCUUAGGCAGCUCUUACUGAACUUGGCGUGCUCUGACAAAAUCCAUUUUGUGAUCAAGUUAUGAUUAGAGUGAUAUGGUCUUGGCUUCUCAGCGUUUGCACUAAAUGCUCAGCUGUCUCACACACAGAGUGAGAACACACACAUACAAUAUUACUCACAUAUGACAAAGUAGACUGCUUUAGUGAAAAUGCCUAGUUUCUUAUUAUAACUUUAAUUUAUGAUUGUGUGUUUUACUGUAAAAAAUGUUCAGGUAACAUCUUAAUGUGGCACAUACAGCAUGGUAACGUUUUGCAGUGUGGUGAAUUUUGAUUUGUUGAUUGUGCAAAUGCAGAAGAGAUUCAGUAAUUACAAAUAACAUCAAGAUUUAAAUUUGAUCAUUCAUUUUGUAUCCAUUAAAAAUGAUCAACAAAGGAAAAUGACCCAGUUGAUGUCAAUGCAAACCAAAUGAACAUUUCAUAAACACCCCCUGCCCCUCCAGGCAUCAUCUCACUCACCUGAGAUGGUCAACAAGUUCCUCAAAAUGACCACACUAAAAUCUGUUUUUCCAUUCAGCCUCUUCGAUCCCAAUUCGAAUGAUAAAGUAUUUGAGCUCUGCAACAAUGCACAAGGCUUGGUCUAUUCUUGUUUGGUUCAACGGCUUUUUGUUACUGCAUUUUGAGAGAACCCUCACAACUUUGUCUUAAA
Long non-coding RNA from Onychostoma macrolepis, 1451 nucleotides. RefSeq lists it as uncharacterized. NCBI's taxonomy places the organism in Eukaryota, Metazoa, Chordata, Actinopteri, Cypriniformes, Cyprinidae. The record is from RefSeq and is a predicted model, not a curated record. The transcript is spliced from 3 exons.